RNAcentral lists this unclassified non-coding RNA (348 nucleotides) under soil metagenome. Its description in RNAcentral is "partial contains 5.8S ribosomal RNA, internal transcribed spacer 2, and large subunit ribosomal RNA". The stretch from base 1 to 120 matches the Rfam family "5.8S ribosomal RNA", at positions 35 to 154 of the family's 154-position model. The record is from RNAcentral.
GAUGAAGAACGCAGCGAAAUGCGAUAGGUAAUGUGAAUUGCAGAAUUCAGUGAAUCAUCGAGUCUUUGAACGCACAUUGCGCCCCCUGGUAUUCCGGGGGGCAUGCCUGUCCGAGCGUCAUUGCUGCCCUCAAGCACGGCUUGUGUGUUGGGCCCCGCCCCCCGGCUCCCGGGGGGCGGGCCCGAAAGGCAGCGGCGGCACCGCGUCCGGUCCUCGAGCGUAUGGGGCUUCGUCACCCGCUCCGUAGGCCCGGCCGGCGCCCGCCGGCGACCCCCCUCAAUCUUUUCAGGUUGACCUCGGAUCAGGUAGGGAUACCCGCUGAACUUAAGCAUAUCAAUAAGCGGAGGA